This 237-nucleotide unclassified non-coding RNA is filed under the name Hevea brasiliensis (rubber tree). Lineage: Eukaryota; Viridiplantae; Streptophyta; Magnoliopsida; Malpighiales; Euphorbiaceae. The record is from RNAcentral.
GGAUUUGCAUGUAUUGUAGAAAUUCCGUUUUCUAUACGAUUAAUAUCUUCUUUAUCUUCUUUCGAAGGCAAAAAGAUUUUCAAAUCUCAUAAUUUACGAUCAAUUCAUUCAACAUUUCCUUUUUUAGAGGACAAUUUUUCACAUCUAAAUUAUGUAUUAGAUAUACUAAUACCCUACCCCGUUCAUCUGGAAAUCUUGGUUCAAACUCUUCGCUAUUGGGUAAAAGAUGCCUCUUCU